GACAGAGGGUGCAAACGUUGCUCGGAAUUACUGGGCGUAAAGCGCGUGUAGGCGGGGAGAUAAGUCCGGUGUGAAAUCCCUGGGCUCAACCUAGGAACUGCAUCCGAAACUGUUUUUCUGGAGUGAUGGAGAGGAGAGCGGAAUUCCCGGUGUAGAGGUGAAAUUCGUAGAUAUCGGGAGGAACACCAGUGGCGAAGGCGGCUCUCUGGCCAUCAACUGACGCUGAGACGCGAAAGCGUGGGGAGCAAACAGG
Molecule: ribosomal RNA, 253 nt
Filed under: uncultured bacterium
Lineage: Bacteria
Description: partial 16S ribosomal RNA
Rfam family: Bacterial small subunit ribosomal RNA
Source: RNAcentral